GCCAACAAAGAUCUGUAUAGUCAAAGCUUUGGUUUUUCCAGUAGUUAUGUAGGGAUGUGAGAGCUAGAUAAUACAAAAGGCUGAUCACUUUUGAACUGUGGUGCUAGAGAAGACUCUUGAGAGUCCCUUGGACAGCAAAGAGAUCAAACCAGUCAAUCCUAAAGGAAAAGGAAAUAAACCCUGAAUAGUCAUUGGAAGGACUAACACUGAAGCUCCAAUAGUUUGGCCACCUGAUGUUAAGAGCCAACUCAUUGGAAAAGACCCUGAUGCUGGGAAAGACUGAGGGCAAGAGGAGAAUGGGGCAACAGUGGGUGAGACAGUUCAAUGGCAUCAUUGGCUAAUGGACAUGAGUUUGAGCAAACUCUGGGAGAUAGUAAAGGAUGGAACCCUGGCAUACUGCCAUCCAUGGGGUCCAAAAGAGAUGGACAUGACUGAGUGAGUGAACAACAAAUGAAAAAAUCAAAAAGAGAAAUUCAAGAAACAAUUCCUUUUACCAUCACAUCAAAAGGAAUAAAACACCUAGGACUAAACUAGGAAAGACUGAGGGCAGGAGGAGAAUGGGCAACAGAGGAUGAGACACAUGGAUGGCAUCGACUAAUGGACAUGAGUUUGAGUAAACUCCGGGAAUUGGUGAUUGACAGGGAGGCCUGGCAUGCUGCAGUCCAUGGGGUCACAAGGAGUCAGACAUGGCUGAGCGACUGACCUGAAACAUACCUAAGGAGACAAAACACCUGUAUUCCUCAAAACUAUGAGAAACUGAUGAAAGAAAUCAAAUACUCAUGUUGAUGUUUGGUAAAUACCAACACAAUUCUGUGAAGCAAUCAUCCUUCAAUUAAAAAAUAAAUAAAUUAAAAAAAAAAAAAAACAAAUAAGACCCAAACAGAUAUUCAUAUAUUGGAAGAAUUAAUAUUGUCAAAAUUACUACACUACCCAGGGAAAUCUUCAGAUUCAACACAAUCCCUAUCAAUUACCAAUGGCAUUUUUCACAGACCUAGAACAAAAAAUUCUUAAAAUUUCUAUGGAGACAAAAAAGAUCUGGAAUAGUCAAAGCAAUCAUGAGAAAGAAAAAGUAAGCUGGAGGAAUCAGGUUUCCUGACUUCAAACUAUGCUACAAAGCUACAGUAAUCAAAGCAGUGUGGUACCAGUACAAAAAUAGAAAUAUAGAUGAAUGGAACAUUAUAGAAAACCUGGAAAUUACCCCCAUGCACCUGCUGCUGCUCCUAAGUCACUUCAGUCGUGUCCGACUCUGUGCAGCCCCAUAGACGGCAGACCACCAAGCUCCCCCGUCCCUGGGAUUCUCCAGGCAAGAACAUUGGAGUGGAUUGCCAUUUCCUUCUCCAAUGCAUUAAAGUGAAAAGUGAAAGGGAAGUCGCUCAGUUGUGUCUGACUCUUCGCUACCACAUGGACUGCAGCCCACCAGGUUCCUCCGUCCAUGGGAUUUUCCAGGCAAGAGUACUGGAGUGGGGUGCCAUUGCCUUCUCCAACCCCAUGCACCUACUGUCCAUCAAUCUAUGACAAAGGAGGCAUAGCUACACAAUGUCAAAUUGAUAGUCUCUCAACAAAUGAUGCUGUGAAUACUGGACAGCUAAAUGUAACAAAAAUGAAAUUAGAUAAAUCUUUAACAACAUACACAAAAAUAAGCUCAAAAUGGAUUAAAGACCUAAAUGUGAGACUGGACAUUGUAAAACUCCUAGAGGAAAUCAUAGGCAGAACACUCUCUAAUAAAUCACAGAAAAAAAAUUUUGAUAUAUCUCCUACAACAAUGGAAACAAGAAAUAAUAAACAGAUGGGAGCCUACUCAAACUCAAAAGCUUUUGCACAGAAAAGGAAACAAUAAGCAAAACAAAAUGACAACCCAAAGAUUGGGAGAAAAUAUUUUCAAAUAAUGUGACAGACAAGAGAUUGUUCUCCUGCAUUUAUAAAUAGCUAAUUAUGCUUGGACAUCAAAACAAAUAGUUCAAUCAAAGAAAUGGGC
Bos taurus (domestic cattle) is the source of this 1975-nucleotide long non-coding RNA. The record is from Ensembl. Lineage: Eukaryota; Metazoa; Chordata; Mammalia; Artiodactyla; Bovidae.